GACGAACGCUGGCGGCGUGCCUAAUACAUGCAAGUAGAACGCUGAAGGAGGAGCUUGCUUCUCUGGAUGAGUUGCGAACGGGGGAGUAACGCGUAGGUAACCUGCCUGGUAGCGGGGGAUAACUAUUGGAAACGAUAGCUAAUACCGCAUAAUAGUAGAUGUUGCAUGACAUUUACUUAAAAGGUGCAAUUGCAUCACUACCAGAUGGACCUGCGUUGUAUGAGCUAGUUGGUGGGGUAACGGCUCACCAAGGCGACGAUACGUAGCCGACCUGCGAGGGGGCUCGGCCACACUGGGACUGGGACACGGCCCAGACCCCUGCGGGAGGCAGCCGUAGGGAAUCUUCGGCAAUGGACGAAAGUCUGACCGAGCAACGCCGCGUGAGUGAAGAAGGUUUUCGGGUCGUAAAGCUCUGUUGUAAGAGAAGGACGAGUGUGAGAGUGGAAAGUUCACACAGUGACGGUAUCUUAACAGAAAGGGACGGCUAACUACGUG
This 495-nucleotide ribosomal RNA is filed under the name uncultured bacterium. Its description in RNAcentral is "partial 16S ribosomal RNA". It matches the Rfam family "Bacterial small subunit ribosomal RNA", at positions 28 to 507 of the family's 1533-position model. The record is from RNAcentral.